Pangasianodon gigas (Mekong giant catfish) is the source of this 73-nucleotide non-coding RNA. Lineage: Eukaryota; Metazoa; Chordata; Actinopteri; Siluriformes; Pangasiidae. The record is from the annotation of a GenBank genome assembly.
UACGAUGCCAGGUGUUUGACUUUGAACUGAGCGACGAUGAAAUGAAGACCAUUUUAAGCUACAACAGGAACUA